UACAACGUAAAUGCGCCACCCACCUUGAG
Molecule: non-coding RNA, 29 nt
Filed under: Bombyx mori (domestic silkworm)
Lineage: Eukaryota; Metazoa; Arthropoda; Insecta; Lepidoptera; Bombycidae
Source: RNAcentral